AUUGAACGCUGGCGGCAGGCCUAACACAAGCAAGUCGAGCGGUAGCACAGAGAGCUUGCUCUCGGGUGACGAGCGGCGGACGGGUGAGUAAUGUCUGGGAAACUGCCUGAUGGAGGGGGAUAACUACUGGGAACGGUAGCUAAUACCGCAUAACGUCGCAAGACCAAAGUGGGGGACCUUCGGGCCUCAUGCCAUCAGAUGUGCCCAGAUGGGAUUAGCUAGUAGGUGGGGUAACGGCUCACCUAGGCGACGAUCCCUAGCUGGUCUGAGAGGAGGACCAGCCACACUGGAACUGAGACACGGUCCAGACUCCUACGGGAGGCAGCAGUGGGGAAUAUUGCACAAUGGGCGCAAGCCUGAUGCAGCCAUGCCGCGUGUGUGAAGAAGGCCUUCGGGUUGUAAAGCACUUUCAGCGGGGAGGAAGGCGGUGAGGUUAAUAACCUUGUCGAUUGACGUUACCCGCAGAAGAAGCACCGGCUAACUCCGUGCCAGCCGCCGCAGUAA
This 504-nucleotide ribosomal RNA is filed under the name uncultured bacterium. RNAcentral describes it as "partial 16S ribosomal RNA". It matches the Rfam family "Bacterial small subunit ribosomal RNA", at positions 29 to 523 of the family's 1533-position model. The record is from RNAcentral.